CAGCCGCCGCGGUAAACGAAGGGGGCUAGCGUUGUUCGGAUUUACUGGGCGUAAAGCGCACGUAGGCGGACUUUUAAGUCAGGGGUGAAAUCCCGGGGCUCAACCCCGGAACUGCCUUUGAUACUGGAAGUCUUGAGUAUGGUAGAGGUGAGUGGAAUUCCGAGUGUAGAGGUGAAAUUCGUAGAUAUUCGGAGGAACACCAGUGGCGAAGGCGGCUCACUGGACCAUUACUGACGCUGAGGUGCGAAAGCGUGGGGAGCAAAUGGGAUUAGAGACCCCCGUAGUCCCUGUCUCUUAUACU
Molecule: ribosomal RNA, 301 nt
Filed under: uncultured bacterium
Lineage: Bacteria
Description: partial 16S ribosomal RNA
Rfam family: Bacterial small subunit ribosomal RNA
Source: RNAcentral